CCUGUGAACAUACCACUUGUUGCCUCGGCGGAUCAGCCCGCUCCCGGUAAAACGGGACGGCCCGCCAGAGGACCCCUAAACUCUGUUUCUAUAUGUAACUUCUGAGUAAAACCAUAAAUAAAUCAAAACUUUCAACAACGGAUCUCUUGGUUCUGGCAUCGAUGAAGAACGCAGCAAAAUGCGAUAAGUAAUGUGAAUUGCAGAAUUCAGUGAAUCAUCGAAUCUUUGAACGCACAUUGCGCCCGCCAGUAUUCUGGCGGGCAUGCCUGUUCGAGCGUCAUUUCAACCCUCAAGCACAGCUUGGUGUUGGGACUCGCGUUAAUUCGCGUUCCCCAAAUUGAUUGGCGGUCACGUCGAGCUUCCAUAGCGUAGUAGUAAAACCCUCGUUACUGGUAAUCGUCGCGGCCACGCCGUUAAACCCCAACUUCUGAAUGUUGACCUCGGAUCAGGUAGGAAUACCCGCUGAACUUAAGCAUAUCA
RNAcentral lists this unclassified non-coding RNA (480 nucleotides) under Fusarium oxysporum. RNAcentral describes it as "sequence contains ITS1, 5.8S rRNA gene, ITS2". The stretch from base 127 to 280 matches the Rfam family "5.8S ribosomal RNA". The record is from RNAcentral. Lineage: Eukaryota; Fungi; Ascomycota; Sordariomycetes; Hypocreales; Nectriaceae.